UGGAGUCACUACCAGUGCUGUGUUUGACUACGUAUGUAACCACAGUAAUGGUAUGAACUCAGAU
Molecule: microRNA precursor, 64 nt
Filed under: Gallus gallus (chicken)
Lineage: Eukaryota; Metazoa; Chordata; Aves; Galliformes; Phasianidae
Description: Gga-Mir-1685_pre stem-loop
Source: RNAcentral